GGAUAACUUACCCUUUAGGACUGGGAUAACUCUGGGAAACUGGGGAUAAUACUGGAUAUUAGGCUAUGCCUGGAAUGGUUUGCCUUUGAAAUGUUUUUUUUCGCCUAAGGAUAGGUCUGCGGCUGAUUAGGUCGUUGGUGGGGUAAUGGCCCACCAAGCCGAUGAUCGGUACGGGUUGUGAGAGCAAGGGCCCGGAGAUGGAACCUGAGACAAGGUUCCAGACCCUACGGGGUGCAGCAGGCGCGAAACCUCCGCAAUGUACGAAAGUGCGACGGGGGGAUCCCAAGUGUUAUGCUUUUUUGUAUGACUUUUCAUUAGUGUAAAAAGCUUUUAGAAUAAGAGCUGGGCAAGACCGGUGCCAGCCGCCGCGGUAACACCGGCAGCUCGAGUGGUAGCUGUUUUUAUUGGGCCUAAAGCGUUCGUAGCCGGUUUGAUAAGUCUUUGGUGAAAGCUUGUAGCUUAACUAUAAGAAUUGCUGGAGAUACUAUUAGACUUGAAGUCGGGAGAGGUUAGAGGUACUACCGGGGUAGGGGUGAAAUCCUAUAAUCCUGGGAGGACCACCUGUGGCGAAGGCGUCUAACUGGAACGAUCUUGACGGUGAGUAACGAAAGCCAGGGGCGCGAACCGGAUUAGAUACCCGGGUAGUCCUGGCCGUAAACGAUGUGGACUUGGUGUUGGAAUGGCUUUGAGUUGUUCCGGUGCCGAAGGGAAGCUGUUAAGUCCACCGCCUGGGAAGUACGGUCGCAAGACUGAAACUUA
RNAcentral lists this ribosomal RNA (759 nucleotides) under uncultured archaeon. RNAcentral describes it as "bacterial SSU rRNA". It matches the Rfam family "Archaeal small subunit ribosomal RNA", at positions 102 to 858 of the family's 1478-position model. The record is from RNAcentral.